AGAGUUUGAUUAUGGCUCAGGACGAACGCUGGCGGCGUGCUUCAUACAUGCAAGUCGAACGAGAAGCUGACUUCGGUCAGUGGAAAGUGGCGGACGGGUGAGUAAUAUGUAGGAAAUCUGCCCUAGAGAGGGGGACAACAGAGGGAAACUUCUGCUAAUACCCCAUAUGAGCUUAGUUGAAAUACUAAUCUUGAAAACUCCGGUGCUCUAGGAUGAGCCUGCAUCUGAUUAGCUAGUUGGCGGUGCAAUGGACCACCAAGGCGACGAUCAGUAGCUGGUUUGAGAGGAUGAUCAGCCACAAUGGGACUGAGACACGGCCCAUACUCCUACGGGAGGCAGCAGUAGGGAAUUUUGCGCAAUGGGCGAAAGCCUGAACCGCAGCAACGCCGCGUGAACGAUUAAGCCCUUCGGGGUGUAAAGUUCUGUCAGUAGGGACGAAACUUGACGGUACCUACAGAGGAAGCACCGGCUAACUCCGUGCCAGCAGCUGC
Molecule: ribosomal RNA, 491 nt
Filed under: uncultured bacterium
Lineage: Bacteria
Description: bacterial SSU rRNA
Rfam family: Bacterial small subunit ribosomal RNA
Source: RNAcentral